CAUGCAGGUGGUUUGUUAAGUCAGAUGUGAAAGCCCGGGGCUCAACCUCGGAACUGCAUUUGAAACUGGCAGACUAGAGUACUGUAGAGGGGGGUAGAAUUUCAGGUGUAGCGGUGAAAUGCGUAGAGAUCUGAAGGAAUACCGGUGGCGAAGGCGGCCCCCUGGACAGAUACUGACACUCAGAUGCGAAAGCGUGGGGAGCAAACA
Molecule: ribosomal RNA, 207 nt
Filed under: uncultured bacterium
Lineage: Bacteria
Description: partial 16S ribosomal RNA
Rfam family: Bacterial small subunit ribosomal RNA
Source: RNAcentral